Long non-coding RNA from Acanthopagrus latus (yellowfin seabream), 2755 nucleotides. RefSeq lists it as uncharacterized. The transcript has 5 exons. Lineage: Eukaryota; Metazoa; Chordata; Actinopteri; Spariformes; Sparidae. The record is from RefSeq and is a predicted model, not a curated record.
GGAGUCUCACACAGAUCACUGACCUUCACUGUUACCAGACUGGUGCUUUAACACCAUGUCUUUAUUUUCACUCGAGUGUCACAGUUGGAUCCUUUUCACAGCACUGAUAACUGAUCGACCCUAACCCUGAUCGAUUUGUUCCGGUCGAGACUUUUUAAAGUAUUUUGUAACUGUUGGAGCGUGUAGAGAGGAGCGAAACACCACACGUCAGAUUCAACGAACAAAGUCAAAGUUUUAAUAUGACUCAUUUUCUCAAUAUUAAAAUCAUUUCAAAGUGAUCAAACUGUAUUCACACACACACACACACACGCACACACACACACACACACACACAUUCUUGGCCACAUCUGUUCCCUCUGAGCAGCCGGUCCACCAGUCUGGACCAGUCAGAGCUUUAAACUGGACAAACACAACGUGAGGUAAACACACACACACACACACACAGAGUGAAGGAAUGCGCACACAAACAGAAGCAGAUGUAAACGAGUGUGAACACUAAGAAAUAUAGACGCGCACACACACACGGAGGGUAAACAGUGGUGGUGAGCUGGCACUGGUCCUGACAGAGUUAUUCCAAACUCAGACAUUCCUCAACUCACUUUCCUCCCGACAAUUACCCUCCGAACUCUGACUGUGUGUGUGUGUGUGUGUGUGUGUGUGUGUGUGUGUGUGUGUGUCGGAGCUCAGAACAAUAAGUUAAAACUUCUCUGCGACCAGGACGAGUUUGAGGACAAAGCAGGAUGUUUUAUUCACGUGUUGUUUCGUAGCUUUGAAUAGAGGUACUGAGGCUCAGAGGCAGCUCCUUGUCAUUAGAAGGUUGCUGGUUUGAUUCCCCUGAUCUGCAUGUUUAAGUGUCCUUGGGCAAGAUACUGAACCCCAAACUGCAUUGAUGUGGGAUUAUUAUAUUUGCACGAUCAAUAAUUGCAGGAGUGCAGCAUCGAGCCGUCGUGGAUAUUGAGAGAAACAGCUAAACGUCCUGGAACACAGGCUGGUGUUAGCAGAAGACUACAGUUCCCAUGAUGCACCACUAGCUCAGAGAGCGGUAAGUGGUUCUGCUCCUGGUUCUGCUCGGUGUUUGGGUUUUACUGAUAAUGUGUCCUUUGCUGUCUGAAGGUGUUCGGCCUGAUGAUCAUCCAGCUGCUGAGAGGAAAACACCUUCAGACGGAGCUGGACAGGUUGUCCUGUGAGUCCUGUCAGGAUUUCACAACCGGGCCGUUUUCAAGUCGGGCUGGAGUUGAACAAACCCAAUAACAGGAAGACGACAGGAAGUGACCCCGACCCUGCGGCUGAGAGACGUGACGCCGUCAGCUUCCUCCAAGUGUCAAAACAACUCUGGAGUUACAAUGAAAACUUGAAUACGUUUACAAGAGUUUCAGCUGCAAAUUCUUGAUUUUUCAGACGAACAUCUCACGUACGUGUCCACGCGUCAUCACGUGUUCCACAGUCAGAGCCAUCGACCGUCUGAGCUGUGACUCAUCAGUGAUGCAGAUGACAUCAUGUCAGCUCCUGAAACAGGAAGUGAUUUACUGUCUGAGCAGACGAGACAAAACCAUCCUGAGGAGCUCACCUGAGAUGAUCCUGUAAUCAACCCAUAACAGAUCAAUAACAGUGUGUGUGUGUGUGUGUGUGUGUGUGUGUGUGUGUGUGUGUGAGCUCACAUUCCUUACAGACAUGUCAGCUUCCUGGCAGCCGUCUCAUAACACACACAUGUUAACUGUGUGUGUGUGAUGAGGAAAACUGACUCCAUGGAUUAAGUCGUUUCUGUUGAGUCAGCCCCUUGUGUGUGUGUGUGUGUGUGUGUGUGUGUGUGUGUGUGUGCAUGUGUGUGUGUGAGAAAAAGUCAAAGACAGUCACACACUGAUUUUAUGAUCAUCUCGUGUGUGUGUGUGUGUGUGUGUGUGUUCAUCAUGUCUUUAUUCACAUCUACUGUUUCAGCCUCAAGGCAACACACACACACAUUAACACACGUUAAUACGCCCACGCAUUGUGCAGCCAUCACACACACACACACACACACACACACACACACACAGUCUGACCCCUGCAGCGGCGCUUGUCAUCUGUAACCACGGUGAUUCAGCUCGAUGGAGACGCUGUGAGAAUCUGAGCGACUCAAACCUCCAGCGCUCGUUCAGACGUCUCCAGCUGUUUUCUACAGUAUGAAAAAUGAUCGUUGUUUAAUUCACUCUUUCAUCAGAGUGAGUCUGUGGACUCGUCCUGAUCCGUUAAAUGUGUCUCGAGGAGACGAGGAACCGUCAGCACUGACAUCACACUGCACCACCUGGGAGGUCUUCAUCUGUGUGUGUGUGUCUCCAGUUCACACCUCAUAAAACAGACAGUUACCUGGUUACCAUGGCGACCACUGAGACAGUAAUGACAGGGCCGGUCGUCGCCUCUGACAGCCCGGUGAACCGUGAGCUGAUUGGCUGAGAGGAUCAGACAAGUUUAAAUGUUUCGUCCCGCAGCUUCUAAUCACUUGCGACAGAUUACAGAGCGGCAGGUGACGUGUGUGUGUGUGCGUGUGUGUGUGUGUGUGUGUGUGCGUAAUGUUGAUGAUCACAAAGCUAACACAACAGCGUGCUGUGUGUCAUAACUCACACUAUGUAUUUAGAGUUCAGCACUGAGGUGUUUUGAGUCAGCAGGUAGCUGCUACAUUUAGCAGCAGUUAGCGAGGACUUUAGCAACAAGUGAAGCUAUCUGUCCAGAGUAGAGCCUCUUCUUCUUCUUCUUCUUCUUCUUCUUCUUCUUCUUCUUC